GACGAACGCUGGCGGCGUGCUUAACACAUGCAAGUGGAGCGACGAACCGGGGCUUGCCCCGGGGCAGAGCCGCGAACGGGUGAGUAACACGUGGGUUACCUGCCCCAAUGACCGGGACAACCCGAGGAAACUCGGGCUAAUACCGGAUGUGGUCUUCGGACGAAAGGAAGCUUCGGCCUCCGCAUUGGGAUGGGCCCGCGGCGCAUUAGCUAGUUGGUGGGGUAACGGCCUACCAAGGCGACGAUGCGUAGCUGGUCUGAGAGGACGAUCAGCCACACUGGGACUGAGACACGGCCCAGACUCCUACGGGAGGCAGCAGUGGGGAAUCUUGCGCAAUGCGCGAAAGCGUGACGCAGCAACGCCGCGU
This 367-nucleotide ribosomal RNA is filed under the name uncultured bacterium. RNAcentral's name for it is "bacterial SSU rRNA". It matches the Rfam family "Bacterial small subunit ribosomal RNA", at positions 28 to 402 of the family's 1533-position model. The record is from RNAcentral.